CAGGGAUUGCCCUAGUAACGGCGAGUGAAGCGGCAACAGCUCAAAUUUGAAAUCUGGCCUCUAGGUCCGAGUUGUAAUUUGUAGAGGAUGCUUUUGGUGUAGCACUGCCCGAGUUCCCUGGAAUGGGACGCCAUAGAGGGUGAGAGCCCCGUCUGGUUAGCUGCGCAGCCUUUAUAAAGCUCCUUCAACGAGUCGAGUAGUUUGGGAAUGCUGCUCAAAGCGGGAGGUAUAUGUCUUCUAAAGCUAAAUACCGGCUAGAGACCGAUAGCGCACAAGUAGAGUGAUCGAAAGAUGAAAAGCACUUUGAAAAGAGGGUUAAACAGUACGUGAAAUUGCUAAAAGGGAAGCACUUACAACUAGACGUGGGCGUGUUUAAUCACCUAGUAUUCUUACUAGGGCACUUAGACGCUGCCUAGGCUAGCAUUGGUUUGCUGCAGGGGAUAAAAGCACUAGGAAUGUAGCCCCCCUCGGGGGGUGUUAUAGCCUGGUGCAAUGCCCUGUGGCAGACCAAGGUCCGCGCUUUGGCAAGGAUGCUGGCAUAAUAGUUGUUAGUGACCCGUCUUGAAACACGGACCAAGGAGUCGUCCUCGUAUGCGAGUGUUUGGGUGUUAAACCCGUACGCGGAAUAAAAGUGAACGCAGGUGAGAGCCCUUGGGCGCAUCACCGACCGAUCUUGAUGUUCUCGGAUGGAUUUGAGUAGGAGCAUACGGGGCCGGACCCGAAAGAAGGUGAACUAUGCCUGCGUAGGGUGAAGCCAGAGGAAACUCUGGUGGAGGCUCGCAGCGGUUCUGACGUGCAAAUCGAUCGUCAAACGUGGGCAUGGGGGCGAAAGACUA
This 836-nucleotide ribosomal RNA is filed under the name Ophiocordyceps pseudolloydii. Its description in RNAcentral is "partial large subunit ribosomal RNA". It matches the Rfam family "Eukaryotic large subunit ribosomal RNA", at positions 69 to 933 of the family's 3401-position model. Lineage: Eukaryota; Fungi; Ascomycota; Sordariomycetes; Hypocreales; Ophiocordycipitaceae. The record is from RNAcentral.